AGGGGUACUGUUCCUCUCAUUAAUGGUGAAGAGAUAUUUUAUGUUGUUAUGAUGAUAAUAGGCGUCAGUAGGAGCAUCAUCACCCUACGAACGGCUGUCAGAAACCAUGAUAGGUGAUGCGACUGUCAUAGAUUGUGGGAAGUGACUUGCUGUCUCUUCAUCUUGUCUUCUCACUCUGCAGGUGAUGGGAUGUGGGUCAUGACUGUUUGUUGUGAUAGCGUGUAAGACUCGCUUUACUUUAAUUGAUGAUCCGGACGAUUAUAUCCGGAUGACACAUGCUGAUUAUCCGGAUGUAUUGUGGAGCGGAUGCAUUAUGAAGGUUGUCCGGGUUCCCAUGCUCUACCAGCGUCGUUUGCUCUUCCUUGGAUAGGAGAAGCUGAAACGUCAUUUGCCUUUCCUUGAGGUGGUCCGGAUAGGGGAACUGCGUCAUGCGUAUCCUUAGGGGAAUCCGGAUGAUGAUGGUCCGGCUGAUAACACGUGCCACGUGUCAUUGUGAGAUGCGUGCCAUGUGUUUCCUAGAGGGAGGGGUCCCUACAAUAUGCUACUCUCAUUAAGGAAUGGCUAUGACAAGUUUGAGGGGACUUAUUUAAUAUCCUCCAAUAUUUCAAAUAUGAGUAACACCAAUGUAAAUAAACUUUUAAAAAUCUUUUGAUGGUGGAAUAAUUAAUUUUGUUAACUCACAUAAGCAAUUCUUGUGUGUUGGAUGAAAGAAUAAGGCCCUAAAAAAAUAGGAAAGAUCACAACAAAUAUUCCUUAGAAUUUCAAACUAGGCAAAUGACCUUGUUAUGGUAAGCGUGGAGCGAAGAACAAGGUAGUAAAAGAAAUAGGGAAAGAUCACAUCAAAUGGGUGUGUCAUCAAUUUCUUAUGAGGCAUAUUCAUAAGAAUUUCUAACUAACUAGAUGGGUAUAAGCGUAGCAUUUCCUUGUAGGUUACAUCCUUUAAUCCUUCCUUUCAUAGUCUUUGUGUUUUGGGUCUCUUUGUACUAUUUUUAUUUUGAAGUUAAACAUUUAGAAUCCCUAUUAAUCUUCUUGGCUCUAAUAUGUUAAGACAUUCUUUACCUUAAAUUUGGAACCAAUUUCUUGUCAAUAGAAGCUUUAAUGUCAUGGAUGAAUUCAUUUUUUUCUUAUAUUUCUUGUCUUUAGGUCUAUAAUUGGUCAGACUAUGUCAAAAUUAUUUAUAUUUUUAUAUUUCUAUAAUUAAUCUAAAAACUAAAAAGAUAAAAUAAAGAAAAAAAAAACAAUUGAAGUUUGAUUGGAAGAAUGAGAAAGAAGAUUUUUUAUUUUUUAUUUGCUUCAAUAUGAAAUUCAAGGCAAGUUCUUUACAUAUUAUUUAUUUUUGAAAUUCUUUUCUUGUUCUUUAAAAAUAGAUCAAUAGGGAAAUUUGUUUUUUGGUAAAAAUAUUAUAUUAGUGACUUGUACUUGAGUUUAAGAAAAAAAAAAUUUGAUAUUUGAGUUUCAUUUUUGAUGGCAUGUAAUAAAAAAAAUUAAAUAAUAUAUACAAUGGAAUUAGCUUUGAAUAUUAAAUUAUACUGAAUAGGGGAUUUAAUAAAAUUUAAAGGGAAUUUGGUCCUUGAAUUAACAACUUGGCGAUUGCAUUGGAGGGAGAUAAAGUUUCUUUUUAUGGCUGCAAUGUCCAUGUAUAUGGUUGUCGGAAAGAAAUAAUAAAGUAAUAAUGAGAUUUGAGUUGUGGGGUAGGAGGAUAAGUAAUAGCAAACUAUUUAAUUGGCUUUAUCUAUUUAGUUAUUUAUUUAUUUAUUUUUAUGUUGUGUGAUUUGUGGAAAAGUGCCUACUGGGGUUCUUUUCCCUUAAUAAGAACCUUUUAAUUAUUCUUUUAAUUCUUCAUUAUGAAAGAAAAAUUCAAAAAAACAUUUGACAAAAUUUUAUUAAAUUUGGACUUGUGUUUUUCCUUGUUCUUUUAAUUUUAAAGUUUUUAUUCUCCAUUUUCACCCUUUAAUUUUUUUUGGACAUUAAUACAAGUGACAAUUAUAUCUAAAAGUAAGAUUUUUUUUUUUCCUUUUACCCCAAACAUUCUUUUGACAUUUGGGUAAGAUAUUUUUUAUACUUUUCCAUUGCAAUUUGUUAUUAGAGUAAGCAAACAUUUUUCUAUAAACAACAAUAUAAUUUUUUUAACCUUUGCUUUCUUUUCCUCUAUUUGGUUAACAUGCAUUUAUAGUUUAACUUAAAAUUUAAGUCAAAAGAUGACAAAGCAUACCUAAAAUAAGUCCAUGCAUGAUAUGGGGAAACUUGAUGAAUGAAAUAAAAUGAAUAUGGAAGAAUUAUAUAGUUAAGGGCAUAAAAUUAGUACCUUUUUGGUUUAACAUUAUUCAUGCAGAAAGUAUUUAGAUUCCAAACUGAUGAUCAUACGAUAUCAAAGACUCUCUCAGGCUCUAUGUACAAAGUAAGAAAUAUGUGAAUGAAUGUAUUAAGAAAUUAUCUAACUCAUGAAUUUGAUAUAAUCCUUUUCUAUUUCUUUGACCAUUCUUUGAUUUUUUAUGGUAUCAAUUUAAUUUAUUUACUAUUUUCCUCUCUCAUGUUGCCAAUACUAACCUAAUGUGUGAAUCACUAUUAUUGUAUUUGAGACAUUGAAGGAGACUAAUAUUAAUUAAUUGUACAAGGUCGAUAUAUGAUAAAAAUAGAAAAAAAUUAUUAUGACUGAUUAUGUAGGCGUGGUUUAUGAUGAAAACAAGAAAGGAUUAUCACGUUUGAUGCGAUCCCAAAUUGUAACACCACUAGAUUGUGUGAUUGAAACAUCACUAGAUUGUAAGAUUGAGAAACCAUGAGAUUGUGAGAUUGAAACACCAUUUAAUUAAUUCCGAUUCUCUUCUCAAGUAUUUCUCAAAAUGAUCUUAAAUUCAACAUGUUCUCAUCUCAUUCAAUGAUAAUUAAUUAGAUGCAUUUCUUUUGAUAAUACCAAGUUGUUGGCCAAUAUCCCAUCUAAAACUUAAUUUAAUUUUACAUUUUCAGUUAUAAUUAAUGUUGUUAAAUUUCUAUUUCUAAUUUUUUAUUAAAUUUUAUUUAAGGAGAAAACUAAUUUGUGACAUUCCACCUCAUAUUUAUACCAAAGUACAAAAAUAAAUAAUUUUGUUAAAUCUUAUUUUUUAUUAUCAUAUAUAUACUAAAAUUUGAGAGAAAUAUUACCCAUACUAAAAUUUGAGACUAAUAUCACCCUUGUAACAUUUAUAAAUUUAACAUUUAAUUUUUAUUCUAGAGGUGCCUUUUUAAAAAUGGAAGGUUAAUUUUGAUCACAUAUGGGUUCCAUCUCUUGGAUUUGGUUCAUGUACUUUAAUUUAAUUUAAUUUGUUAAGCUAAUAACCCAUUAUUAUUAAAUAAAGAUAUCAAUUUCCUUUUUCUUUCUAGCCUCUCUUUGCAUCCACAUUUUUAAAAGUCGCAAAUAAUCAAUAUAUCUUACUUAAUUAAUAAAUAUAGAGUGAUAAGUUUCACGAGUAAGUUCUUAUUUACUUUUUAUGUCUUCUCAAAAUAGAGAAAGUAAAUAAUACAACCCUCUACUUGUAUCCCAACCAAUUAGAUAUUUUAUUUGUUAAGCUAAUAAAAGUAUAUAAGAAGUAUUGAGUUUAAUCUAUUCCUAUUUUAUCUUACUUUUUGGAAUCAUAAAAAAAAUAAUAUUUGUGAAAAAAAAAUUCUUAAACCUUAUAGGUUAUUUAUCUUAUAUAUACGAGAAUAGAGAAAACCACACUAAACUUUGAUGAAACUUUUAUAGAUUCAAUAUUUAAUUUUAAUUUUAUAGAUGUUUCUUAAUGGAAGUUUAAUUUUGAUCAUAAAUAGAUUACACCGCUCUAAUUUGGUUUACCUACUUUAAUUUUGUUAAGCUAAUAACACUUUUUUAUUGAAUAAAACAUAUCAAUUUAUACUUUAUCUCUUUUCUCUCUUUGUAGUCCAUUUUUGUAUUUGAAAUGUUAUGAGUAAUAAUUCUUAAAAACAACUUCUUAUCUACUUUUUUUUCUCCACAAAAUAAAGAUCCACUCAAAUAAGAUGACAUGAAUCCUAAUAAAUGAAAUAUUUAAAAAUUAAAAUUAGUAAAAAAUAAAAUAAAAUAAAAUAAAUUAAAAAUAAACUUUUAAUGACUUAAAUUUUCUUUAGUUAUACAUGUUUUAUUUUAACCAUUUUUCUAUUAAGGAAUGCUUUUGAAAAAUGACAAUUUUAUAUGCAUAAUCACUUUUACCAUCAUUAAAAGUGGUUGUAAAAAUGAUGAUAAGAUGAGCAUUUUCCUUUGAAAAAUUUACUUUUUUAAUGUUCUAGCAUAGGAUACUUUCAAAUUCAUUUAAUUAUUUUUUUUUACUUAUAUUCAUAGUUUUUUUGAAUUAAUUUCGGUUUUUGUAAUAAAAAAUUAUUGCAACAUAAAUUUAUGAUUAUGAAUUAGAUAAAUUGACCAAAAGAAAAUAAUUGAAAAUAUUUGACCUAAGAUAGUUAGAAAAUUGUUUGACACAAAUCAUAAGGAAAAGGAAAAUAUAAGAAAGUUUGAUAUACAGGAUAACUAAGUAUAAAAUUAAGUUUUGCUCAUUUUUCUAAAUACAAAUAUACUAUUUUUUUUUCCCUUAGUAAUUUAGUGGAACAAAAUAUAGAGUAAGUUGUGCAUUAUUCUCCAAUAAUUCAGUUUUCUUUUGCUCAAUUUUUCCAUGAACAUCUAAGCAAGAAAUAAAUAUUAUAAAUUUUAUAUAUUUUUUUCUUUAUAUAAUUUUCCUUUCUAUUUUCUUUAUCUUGUAGUUUACUAAACUUUAAUUUUGAUUCUCAUGUUUCCUGAUAUGCACAUUUUAAAUUGUUUUUUUUUCCUUUUUCGUUUUUAAGUAUGAAGUCCUCUUUGUUUUACUUAAUUAAAUUUUAUAACCUAUUACAAUUGGAAAAUAAUCGAAACAAAAACUUAAAAUUAUUGCUAGCCUAACUCAAUAGUAUAUAAGAAGCAAUCCUAAGAAAAUUCUACUUUGAUGAUCAUGUGACAUGGAUGAUGUUCAUGUUAUGUGAAGUAUUCUAUAGACUCUAUACCCUUUCAAAAACACGAACUUGUGAUUGCAUCAUCUUAUAAGAAAUUAUGAAGUUACAAGUUUCAUGUCAUUCCUCACCAUUUCUUCAACUUGCAUGAUCUUUCAAUCUACUUGUUGAGUUUUUUCUAAUCUUAGAAUGUGUUAGUACAAUAAAAAAGGGGGAUAGUCAUAUGGCUUUAGUAGGGACUAGAGAAAACUACAACUAAAGGGUGUGUAUGGUUAUGCUUGCAAUAAGCCUGAUAUGGCCACAAUGGGCUAAGCUCCAAAAAUAGGGUCCAUAUAUAAGCACCAAUUCUUAUUUAUGUAGUCUCAUGUUAAGUAUAUAAAUAGGGUCUCCUAGAUUUAGGAAAAAGUAAGAUGGAAAUCAAUGACUAAAAUCAAAUCCAUAAAAAAUGGUUAGUGCUCAUGAGAUGAUGAAUUAAAAGCCAAAAAUUAGACAUUCAUUAAAUAGGAUUAAAAGAAAGGCUAGAACUCAAUAAAAAUAAGUGAAGAGAUCUAAGUAGUAUGAGUACCCAAGGACAAAUUUUGAGGUCAACACUAGGCUUAUAUAUACUCUAGCCAUAUAAAAUGCUUGAUAACUUUCCUUGUCUAAGGGCAACUACAAAAGAUUGGGUUGUAGUCACUAUAGAUACAUCCAAAGGACUAAUUACUAAAAAAUAUUUAAUCAAGUUGAAAUUGUCUCCAAUACUUAAGAAUGAUCAUGUGAUGCUAAUGACAUGGUCAUGUGCUUGUAAGAGUGUGCAUAAAUGCUCAUACUUAUUUGUGUUCCAAUUAAGUAACAAGUUGUGAUUGUACAUCAUAAGAAAUCAUCGACUCACUAAUUUGAUAUGGAAGGGACCAAUAUCAAAUAAUACGAUGCCCACUUAUCCAAUCAUAUAUAUAUAGAAGUUGAAGACUGAUAUUCUUAACAAAUUUGAAGAUAUCUCAUCUCCUUUGCCUAUUCUGCAAAGACGAAUGAAGAGAAGAUUGUGCAUACAUCCCUUUAAUCAAAGGUGAGACUCGCUUUCUUAAGUGAAAAUUUGUAAUUUUUAAAAAUUAGAGAACAUGGACUCACAAAGGCAUUAAUAUUCCUACAAAGCAUGUAUACAACUUUUAGAUAUAUAUAUAUAUAUAUAUAUAUAUAUAUAUAUAUAUAAAAUGUAAAAAACAAGGGUUAUAACAAAGCAUAUAAACAACUAAUCAAAAUACUUGUAUAUAUUUACAUUCUUCAUUAAUACAAAUCAUGGUCUAACAACAUUCUUUCAAAAUAUUUUCAAGUUUCAGUUCAUUCUUCACAAGUCCAAUUGAGGUAGUAUUGAACUAAGUAAUAGCAGCUCGAGAUCAAUGCAUAUCUCUUUGACCUGUGCAUCUAGAGUGGUUAUCCUUUGAUCCAAGGAUUGAAAUUCUCCUUAAUGUUAUUGCCUCAGGCAUCAAUAUAGGAGAAUAGGGUGUACAUCUGGGAUUGACGACAAGGAUUUGAAAAUGCUAGCUUUGAAUUCUUAAUUGAGGUAGGUGUCCCACUAGUAUUGCCCUUGGUCUACUGAGCACCUUGUAUAGUCUCCACAGCCGCCAUUCUCUCAAUCUCCUCUGUUGAUACCUCGCGUCUUUGAUGAUCCACGUAGUUGCCAGAUGGAUGGACGCGUGAUCUCAACCCAUAAAGGUUCUUGAUCCAGCCAUUAUACCUGCAAGAAGGCAUCCGGACAGGGUGUCCGGACGCACCCUCCGAUGGUCUUGUUAGCCAUGGUAAGAGAGAGAGAGAGAUAAAUCAGUUGGCCUUUUACGAGGUAUCAGGAGGUUACCAGGGGAUCCCCUUCUUCUUUGUGUGAAGGCUUAUAUAUAUAGCUUCAGGGGAACUAUUCCUCUUAUUAAUGGUGAGGAGAUAUUUUAUGUUGUUAUGAUGAUAAUAGGCGUCAGUAGGAGCAUCAUCACUCUACGAACGGCUGUCAGAAACCAUGGUAGGUGAUGCGGCUGUCAGAGAUCGUGGGAAGUGAUCAUGUAGAAUGAUCGUGGGAAGUGACUUGCUGUCACUUCAUCUUGUCUUCUCACUCUGCAGGUGAUGGGAUGUGGG
This 7044-nucleotide long non-coding RNA is filed under the name Vitis vinifera (wine grape). RNAcentral describes it as "long non-coding RNA (VVIN_LNC002824)". Lineage: Eukaryota; Viridiplantae; Streptophyta; Magnoliopsida; Vitales; Vitaceae. The record is from RNAcentral.